Molecule: ribosomal RNA, 809 nt
Filed under: uncultured Pelagibacteraceae bacterium
Lineage: Bacteria; Pseudomonadati; Pseudomonadota; Alphaproteobacteria; Candidatus Pelagibacterales; Candidatus Pelagibacteraceae
Description: bacterial SSU rRNA
Rfam family: Bacterial small subunit ribosomal RNA
Source: RNAcentral
ACGCUGGCGGCACGCCUUAUACAUGCAAGUCGAACGAAGUAGCAAUACUUAGUGGCAGACGGGUGAGUAACAUGUGGGUAUCUUCCCUUUGGUGAGGAAUAACACGAGGAAACUUGUGCUAAUACCUCAUAAGUCUUUACGGAGAAAGCUUUAUGCGCCAUUGGAUGAGCCCGCACUUGAUUAGUUUGUUGGUGAGGUAAUAGCUUACCAAGACAAAGAUCAAUAGCUGAUUUGAGAGGAUGAUCAGCCACAUUGGGACUGAGACACGGCCCAAACUCCUACGGGAGGCAGCAGUAAGGAAUCUUGCACAAUGGAGGAAACUCUGAUGCAGCGAUGCCGCGUGAGUGAAGAAGGCCCUUGGGUUGUAAAGCUCUUUCGUCGGGGAAGAAAAUGACUGUACCCGAAUAAGAAGGUCCGGCUAACUUCGUGCCAGCAGCCGCGGUAAUACGAAGGGACCUAGCGUAGUUCGGAAUUACUGGGCUUAAAGAGUUCGUAGGUGGUUAAAAUAGUUGGUGGUGAAAUCCCAGAGCUUAACUCUGGAACUGCCAUCAAAACUUUUUAGCUAGAGUAUGAUAGAGGAAAGCAGAAUUUCUAGUGUAGAGGUGAAAUUCGUAGAUAUUAGAAAGAAUACCAAUUGCGAAGGCAGCUUUCUGGAUCAUUACUGACACUGAGGAACGAAAGCAUGGGUAGCGAAGAGGAUUAGAUACCCUCGUAGUCCAUGCCGUAAACGAUGUGUGUUAGACGUUGGAAAUUUAUUUUCAGUGUCGCAGCGAAAGCGAUAAACACACCGCCUGGGGAGUACGACCGCA